This 139-nucleotide small nucleolar RNA is filed under the name Dichanthelium oligosanthes. Its description in RNAcentral is "Small nucleolar RNA Z247". It matches the Rfam family "Small nucleolar RNA Z247". Rfam says of the family: Z247 is a member of the C/D class of snoRNA which contain the C (UGAUGA) and D (CUGA) box motifs. Most of the members of the box C/D family function in directing site-specific 2'-O-methylation of substrate RNAs. The record is from Rfam by way of RNAcentral. Lineage: Eukaryota; Viridiplantae; Streptophyta; Magnoliopsida; Poales; Poaceae.
CCUCUCGAAGAUGAAGAACUGGUGGAGUACAUCCUCACCGGGCUUGAUGACGAGUACGACUCGGUGGUCUCCUCCGUUCUCGCUCGAUCGGAAUCCAUCUCCGUGAGCGAGCUGUACGCUCAGCUACUCGCCUUCGAGA